UUGCUUCGUUUCCACAUUAGUAGCAAUUGUUUUCACAGAUAAGCAUUGGUGUGUGAUGCAAUUGCUAUCGCGUAGAUAACUUUCUAUCCCCACGUUUUGUCAGUAUUAAUUUCAACCCUUUCACUAGUUCUCCUGAUUUUGAAAAUGACAAGCACAAAUGAACGCCGCCAGCUUGAAAUGGAAUUAACCGACCUCAUAGAUGCUGAAAAUUUAAGGGGGAAGGAUGCAGCAUUAGCUUACAACAACAGGGGACAUAUAAGAUAUUUGCAAGUGAACUUUGAUGGAGCAAUAGAAGAUUAUGAUAAAGCAAUAGCAAUCGAUCCUGACCUAGCAGUUGCAUAUUACAACAGAGGAACCGUUUUUUACAGACUAGGCAGGUGGCACUAAUUUGAUGUGGACUUCGAGAAAAGUACAUUCAUACAGCUAUAGUAAGAAAACAAGUGAUGACUCCAAAGUUGUGGGUAUAGCUGUAUCCUAAAUUGACAGACAGUAGUAAUAUUUUCAGAAAAAGAUGUGUAUGUUACAGAGGUUGACACAGGAUCUGGAGUUUGGAAAGAAAGUUUGAGGAUGCACUAACAGACAUGGAACAGGCUGUAAGACUGGAAGCAAAAAAUGGAGAAUUUGCGGAAGGACUAACUGCUUGUCUUACAAAGAAAAAUCAAGUAAUUGCAAAAUAAUAUUCUUUUGUAUUAAAAUUCAAUGUGCUUGACAAUCCAUGUUAUAAUUUGCAAUACAAAUAAAUUUGUAACUGAAAUGCAUAUUGUUUCAUUCAUCAUCAAAGGCACAAUUAAAUGUUUAUAAGACAGGGUAUUGCCAUGAUGCUGAAUUUUUUUCCCCACAAACAUAUAUAUAUAUUUACAAAACAAGCACUGUUGAUUUACACAAUAUUUUUGAAUUGCUGUUGUAUUGUUUCACUAUAUUGGUGUUAUUAGGAGAAAGAGCACCCACUUUUUAUUACCUCUGGAGCUAGAACAUUUGUUUUUAAUUUUUAGCUAGGAGAGUAAAAUGUUCCAAUAUUUUUUAAGAGAUCAAAAGAUUAAAACAAAUAUUUGUAUCAACACAACUAACAUGUUGUGCUUUUGACAAAUUUAUUUACAAGAUGAUAAGGUACCUGAUGAUGCUUUCUACACACUUGCAUUUUGACAUAGUCUCAAAGAUUACCAAACAAGUAGCUGUUAGAAUUUUAGGCACUAUAUUUGCACUGUGGCAACACAAGAAGCUAUACAGAUUGAA
Schistocerca cancellata (South American locust) is the source of this 1233-nucleotide RNA transcript. It is a transcript of the gene named tetratricopeptide repeat protein 32-like, with no coding region annotated. NCBI's taxonomy places the organism in Eukaryota, Metazoa, Arthropoda, Insecta, Orthoptera, Acrididae. The record is from RefSeq and is a predicted model, not a curated record. The transcript has 4 exons.